GACGAACGCUGGCGGCGUGCUUAACACAUGCAAGUCGAACGGAAAGGCCCUGCUUUUGUGGGGUGCUCGAGUGGGGAACGGGUGAGUAACACGUGAGUAACCUGCCCUUGACUUUGGGAUAACUUCAGGAAACUGGGGCUAAUACCGGAUAGGAGCUCCUGCUGCAUGGUGGGGGUUGGAAAGUUUCGGCGGUUGGGGAUGGACUCGCGGCUUAUCAGCUUGUUGGUGGGGUAGUGGCUUACCAAGGCUUUGACGGGUAGCCGGCCUGAGAGGGUGACCGGCCACAUUGGGACUGAGAUACGGCCCAGACUCCUACGGGAGGCAGCAGUGGGGAAUAUUGCACAAUGGGCGGAAGCCUGAUGCAGCAACGCCGCGCGCGGGAUGACGGCCUUCGGGUUGUAAACCGCUUUCGCCUGUGACGAAGCGUGAGUGACGGUAAUGGGUAAAGAAGCACCGGCUAACUACGUGCCAGCAGCCGCGGUGAUACGUAGGGUGCGAGCGUUGUCCGGAUUUAUUGGGCGUAAAGGGCUCGUAGGUGGUUGAUCGCGUCGGAAGUGUAAUCUUGGGGCUUAACCCUGAGCGUGCUUUCGAUACGGGUUGACUUGAGGAAGGUAGGGGAGAAUGGAAUUCCUGGUGGAGCGGUGGAAUGCGCAGAUAUCAGGAGGAACACCAGUGGCGAAGGCGGUUCUCUGGGCCUUUCCUGACGCUGAGGAGCGAAAGCGUGGGGAGCGAACAGGCUUAGAUACCCUGGUAGUCCACGCUGUAAACGGUGGGUACUAGGUGUGGGGUCCAUUCCACGGGUUCCGUGCCGUAGCUAACGCUUUAAGUACCCCGCCUGGGGAGUACGGCCGCAAGGCUAAAACUCAAAGGAAUUGACGGGGCCCCGCACAAGCGGCGGAGCAUGCGGAUUAAUUCGAUGCAACGCGUAGAACCUUACCUGGGUUUGACAUGGAUCGGGAGCGCUCAGAGAUGGGUGUGCCUCUUUUGGGGUCGGUUCACAGGUGGUGCAUGGCUGUCGUCAGCCCGUGUCGUGAGAUGUUGGGUUAAGUCCCGCAACGAGCGCAACCCUUGUUCACUGUUGCCAGCACGUUAUGGUGGGGACUCAGUGGAGACCGCCGGGGUCAACUCGGAGGAAGGUGGGGAUGACGUCAAGUCAUCAUGCCCCUUAUGUCCAGGGCUUCACGCAUGCUACAAUGGCUGGUACAGAGAGUGGCGAGCCUGUGAGGGUGAGCGAAUCUCGGAAAGCCGGUCUCAGUUCGGAUUGGGGUCUGCAACUCGACCUCAUGAAGUCGGAGUCGCUAGUAAUCGCAGAUCAGCAACGCUGUGGUGAAUACGUUCCCGGGGCU
Molecule: ribosomal RNA, 1346 nt
Filed under: uncultured bacterium
Lineage: Bacteria
Description: bacterial SSU rRNA
Rfam family: Bacterial small subunit ribosomal RNA
Source: RNAcentral